GUAGGUGGCAAGCGUUGUCCGGAAUUAUUGGGCGUAAAGCGCGCGCAGGUGGUUCUUUAAGUCUGAUGUGAAAGCCCCCGGCUCAACCGGGGAGGGUCAUUGGAAACUGGGGAACUUGAGUGCAGGAGAGGAAAGUGGAAUUCCACGUGUAGCGGUGAGAUGCGUAGAUAUGUGGAGGAACACCAGUGGCGAAGGCGACUUUCUGGCCUGUAACUGACACUGAGGCGCGAAAGCGUGGGGAGCAAACAGGGAUUAGAUACCCUGGUAGUCCACGCCGUAAACGAUGAGUGCUAAGUGUUGGGGGGGUUUCCCGCCCCUCAGUGCUGCAGCUAACGCAUUAAGCACUCCGCCUGGGGAUACGGUCGCAAGACUG
This 373-nucleotide ribosomal RNA is filed under the name uncultured organism. RNAcentral's name for it is "partial 16S ribosomal RNA". It matches the Rfam family "Bacterial small subunit ribosomal RNA", at positions 527 to 896 of the family's 1533-position model. The record is from RNAcentral.